GGCUAUAUGAAGACUAAGCUGUCUCUUGCAGCCCGCCUAUGAAACUGAUCUCUUAGUUAAAAAGCUAAGAUUUUUCCGCAAGACGAGAAGACCCUGUGGAGCUUCAAACCAGGCUCACAGCAUGAUACACCGGUUUUUAGUUGGGGCGACUUCGGAGAACAAAAAAUCCUCCGACCAAACACAAUUAGAUCAACACAUCAAAAUAUAACUAGACCCAGUAGUAUUAUUACUAACUGACUAACGAACCAAGUUACCCCAGGGAUAACAGCGCUAUCCUCUUCUAGAGUCCCUAUCGACAAGAGGGCUUACGACCUCGAUGUUGGAUCAGGACA
This 332-nucleotide ribosomal RNA is filed under the name Acanthodactylus orientalis. RNAcentral's name for it is "partial 16S ribosomal RNA". It matches the Rfam family "Bacterial large subunit ribosomal RNA", at positions 1998 to 2544 of the family's 2925-position model. Lineage: Eukaryota; Metazoa; Chordata; Lepidosauria; Squamata; Lacertidae. The record is from RNAcentral.